UACGUAGGGGGCAAGCGUUGUCCGGAAUCAUUGGGCGUAAAGAGCGUGUAGGCGGCCAGAAAAGUCCGCUGUGAAAACUCGAGGCUCAACUUCGAGCUGUCGGUGGAAACUUUCUGGCUAGAGUCCGGAAGAGGAGAAUGGAAUUCCUGGUGUAGCGGUGAAAUGCGCAGAUAUCGGGAAGAACACCUAUGGCGAAGGCAGCUCUCUGGGCAUUACCUGACGCUGAGGAGCGAAAGUGUGGGGAGCGAACAGG
This 253-nucleotide ribosomal RNA is filed under the name uncultured bacterium. RNAcentral's name for it is "partial 16S ribosomal RNA". It matches the Rfam family "Bacterial small subunit ribosomal RNA", at positions 524 to 776 of the family's 1533-position model. The record is from RNAcentral.